Molecule: ribosomal RNA, 405 nt
Filed under: uncultured bacterium
Lineage: Bacteria
Description: bacterial SSU rRNA
Rfam family: Bacterial small subunit ribosomal RNA
Source: RNAcentral
AAUGGGCGCAAGCCUGAACCAGCCAUCCCGCGUGAGGGAAGAAGGCGCUAUGCGUUGUAAACUUCUUUUCCAGGGGAAGAAAACCAGAUACGUGUAUCGGCUUGCCGGUACCCUGGGAAUAAGCAUCGGCUAACUCCGUGCCAGCAGCCGCGGUAAUACGGAGGAUGCGAGCGUUAUCCGGAUUUAUUGGGUUUAAAGGGUGCGUAGGCGGACAAAUAAGUCAGUGGUGAAAACCUGCAGCUUAACUGUAGAAUUGCCAUUGAUACUGUUAGUCUUGAGUAUGGUCAAGGUAGGCGGAAUGUGUAAUGUAGCGGUGAAAUGCUUAGAUAUUACACAGAACACCGAUUGCGAAGGCAGCUUACUGGACCAUUACUGACGCUGAUGCACGAAAGCGUGGGGAUCGAA